UGCAAUGGACUCUUGCAGAGUUAUGAAAAUUCCUGCACAAAAAGUCAGUAAAUCAAAAUAAAAAGAUUGGUAAAGUCCGGUAGUGAACAUUAAGAUUAGACUGAUGAAUUCACUCUUGCUACAAGUAAGUAAUUAAUAUGAAGACCUAGUAAACACUUCAUCCUGGGGUUAAGGAGAACAAGCAGCUGAAAAAAAAAAAAAGUAUUUUUCAUUUUUCCCUGCCCACAUAUGCCAUCUCUAAAGGGAGAGAAAAUGGAGCUUUCAAGGAUUUUUUUCCCCUGUUCUUCAAUCUGUUUGACUGAAGAUGACUCUGGCUCUGUGCAGUGAGGGCCAUCUCCCACCCCCAGAUCAAUAUUUUAAUAUGUCUUAUCAGAAAGAGAAUGAAUUGUUUACUUUAAAACCUCAGGAUCCCAUAAAGGGCAAGGCAAAGGUGUCCACUGGAAACAGAGGCUUUCAACAGCUGACCACUGCUGUGACUCGUAAAAGAAAACCAAGAUCUGCAAUGAUCAGAAUACAGUGAUAGUCAUCAAAAUGUCAUACAACAGAAUCUCAGUUCUGACACAUCCUAACGACACACCAUGGGAUCGUUUGCUAGUCGUGUGAGAUGAUCUUUGAAGUCUCCAUGCUGAAGUCUGCAUGUGUACAUAUUACUUCUUCCAUGGACUAACAGUCUACUAGGAGAGCUGUGGAGUGUGACAAUGGUGUUUGUGUCCAAUCUAUCAAACGCCAUUAUCACACUAAAUAGCUACUGGUAGAUCAGACAUCAAUUCAGAAAAGUAUAUGAACCGUAGCAAUACAUUCUCCUACUGUGCUGUGGAAUAAAUAAGCUUUCUACAUGUUAGGAUGACUCCUUUUACAAGUAACCCCACAAUAAUACGUGGGAAAUACAUAAGUGUGCAUUUCCAGAUUCGCAUUGUAAAGCACACAAGAAUCAUCUGAAUCACAGAAUCAUAGAAUUCUGAAGGGAUCAUAACACCAGUGUUGGCAAAGUGGAUUUCAUUGCAGUCGAUGCAGCUGUAAUUACUCUACCUCUGAAAAACAAGGCUGGCUUGGGAUUUUCAUUUGCCUGUUGGAUUGACCAUGACAAUAGAGUACUGAAGCCAGUUACCUGAUGUAGUCAAACCCUGGCUCUUAUUUUGGCACGCCAUUCAAACAUACAGGUUUCGAACAUUAAUUGACUGAGAUGCUUGUAACACUUUUCAAACAGAACACCUUUCAAAAUGUUGAUAAAAAGCUAUUACACCCAACUGGAAACAACAAUUAUUCACGUUUCAAAUGCUUGCAGCUUUGUUCCCUUCCAUAUCACAACUGUAUAUACAAUUUCAGCACUACGCUCAAGUCCACCAUUUUAUGUUCUGAACCUGCUGUUUCGGGAAGGGACAUAAUUUCCACAUAGAAGUUCUCCUGAAAGCUUUUGUGAAGAAUAAGCAUCAACUGUGGGAACUUUCAAAGGGAUUAAUGAAAGCCAGGAACAAACAAUGUAACAGGGGGCCUAAAUUCCAUUAAAUAAUCCAAGAUUUAGGUUCACAGGAUAUUGUUUUCUGAUUUGCAAAGAGUGGUAACCAUAAUUCAGCAUGUUCAUGGUUCAUCAGCAUGUGCCAAAUUUCGAUUGUUAAGUAACCAGGCAUACGUAAUGAAUAGGAAGCUUCCUAUGGCUGUAUUUAA
Anas platyrhynchos (mallard) is the source of this 1665-nucleotide non-coding RNA. The record is from RefSeq and is a predicted model, not a curated record. Lineage: Eukaryota; Metazoa; Chordata; Aves; Anseriformes; Anatidae.